Molecule: non-coding RNA, 207 nt
Organism: Cohnella sp.
Lineage: Bacteria; Bacillati; Bacillota; Bacilli; Caryophanales; Paenibacillaceae
Source: Rfam
AAAAAUCGAAUAUAGAUACCGUAGACCGUAGGUGCCCCGCGCAACCGUUACCAGCGUUAGCUGAUAACCGGUUGUCGUCAAAGGCUUAAUUUCCUACCGAGGUGUGUGGAUAGAGCUUUUCUCUUUCAAAGUGCAUCGCAUUUUGAGUCUGAGAGCAGAAUCGAAUCAUGCCUCCGCAAUGUCUGCGGGGGCAUUUUCUAUGCCUCU